UGACUUGGUACUUUAAAUUAAAAGAUCUGACUUGCAUUCAGACAAUAAGUCUUUCGGCUUUCAGGUCAU
RNAcentral lists this transfer RNA (69 nucleotides) under Conus borgesi. RNAcentral describes it as "tRNA-Ala". The record is from RNAcentral. Lineage: Eukaryota; Metazoa; Mollusca; Gastropoda; Neogastropoda; Conidae.